Molecule: ribosomal RNA, 460 nt
Filed under: uncultured bacterium
Lineage: Bacteria
Description: partial 16S ribosomal RNA
Rfam family: Bacterial small subunit ribosomal RNA
Source: RNAcentral
CCUACGGGAGGCAGCAGUGAGGAAUAUUGGUCAAUGGACGAGAGUCCGAACCAGCCAAGUAGCGUGAAGGAUGACUGCCCUAUGGGUCGUAAACUUCUUUUAUAAAGGAAUAAAACGAGGCACGUGUGCCUUUUUGCAGGUACUUUAUGAAUAAGGAUCGGCUAACUCCGUGCCAGCAGCCGCGGUAAUACGGAGGAUCCGAGCGUUAUCCGGAUUUAUUGGGUUUAAAGGGAGCGUAGAUGGGUUGUUAAGUCAGUUGUGAAAGUUUGCGGCUCAACCGUAAAAUUGCAAUUGAUACUGGCAGUCUUGAGUACAGUUGAGGUAGGCGGAAUUCGUGGUGUAGCGGUGAAAUGCUUAGAUAUCACGAAGAACCCCGAUUGCGAAGGCAGCUUACUAAACUGUGACUGACAUUGAUGCUCGAAAGUGUGGGUAUCAAACAGGAUUAGAUACCCGUGUAGUC